GUAGGGUGCGAGCGUUAAUCGGAGUUACUGGGCGUAAAGCGUGCGCAGGCGGUUUUGUAAGCCAGAUGUGAAAUCCCCGGGCUUAACCUGGGAAUGGCAUUUGGGACUGCAAGGCUCGAGUGCGGCAGAGGAGACUGGAAUUCCUGGUGUAGCAGUGAAAUGCGUAGAUAUCAGGAGGAAUACCGAUGGCGAAGGCAGGUCUCUGGGCUGACACUGACGCUCAUGCACGAAAGCGUGGGGAGCAAACAGGAUUAGAUACCCCGGUAGUCCACGCCCUAAACGAUGUCGACUGGUUGUUGGGGGUUUGACACUCUCAGUAACGAAGCUAACGCGUGAAGUCGACCGCCUGGGGAGUACGGCCGCAAGGUUA
RNAcentral lists this ribosomal RNA (370 nucleotides) under uncultured bacterium. Its description in RNAcentral is "bacterial SSU rRNA". It matches the Rfam family "Bacterial small subunit ribosomal RNA", at positions 527 to 896 of the family's 1533-position model. The record is from RNAcentral.